UACGUAGGGUGCAAGCGUUGUCCGGAUUUAUUGGGCGUAAAGAGCUCGUAGGCGGCUUAGAAAGUCAGGUGUGAAAACUCUGGGCUCAACCCAGAGACGCCACUUGAUACUUCUAUGGCUUGAGUUCGGUAGGGGACCAUGGAAUUCCUGGUGUAGCGGUGAAAUGACGCAGAUAUCAGGAGGAACACCGAUGGCGAAGGCAGUGGUCUGGGCCGAUACUGACGCUGAGGAGCGAAAGCGUGGGGAGCGAACAGG
RNAcentral lists this ribosomal RNA (255 nucleotides) under uncultured bacterium. RNAcentral's name for it is "partial 16S ribosomal RNA". It matches the Rfam family "Bacterial small subunit ribosomal RNA", at positions 524 to 776 of the family's 1533-position model. The record is from RNAcentral.